UACGUAGGGAGCAAGCGUUGUCCGGAAUCAUUGGGCGUAAAGCGCGCGUAGGUGGCCUCAUAAGUCCGCUGUGAAAGUCAAAGGCUCAACCUUUGAAAGCCGGUGGAUACUGUGGGGCUAGAGUACGGAAGAGGCGAGUGGAAUUCCUGGUGUAGCGGUGGAAUGCGCAGAUAUCAGGAGGAACACCAAUAGCGAAGGCAGCUCGCUGGGACGUUUACUGACACUGAGGCGCGAAAAGCGUGGGGAGCGAACAGGG
This 256-nucleotide ribosomal RNA is filed under the name uncultured bacterium. RNAcentral describes it as "partial 16S ribosomal RNA". It matches the Rfam family "Bacterial small subunit ribosomal RNA", at positions 524 to 777 of the family's 1533-position model. The record is from RNAcentral.